RNAcentral lists this ribosomal RNA (460 nucleotides) under uncultured bacterium. Its description in RNAcentral is "partial 16S ribosomal RNA". It matches the Rfam family "Bacterial small subunit ribosomal RNA", at positions 338 to 795 of the family's 1533-position model. The record is from RNAcentral.
CCUACGGGAGGCAGCAGUGAGGAAUAUUGGUCAAUGGGCGGAAGCCUGAACCAGCCAAGUAGCGUGCGGGAUGAAGGCCCUACGGGUCGUAAACCGCUUUUGCACGGGGAUAACACCCUCCACUUGUGGAGGUCUGCAGGUACCGUGCGAAUAAGGGCCGGCUAAUUCCGUGCCAGCAGCCGCGGUAAUACGGAAGGCCCGAGCGUUAUCCGGAUUUAUUGGGCUUAAAGGGAGCGUAGGCGGGGGGUUAAGUCAGGUGUAAAAGUCGGCGGCUCAACCGCACCCCGGCAGUUGAAACUGGACGCCUUGAGUACAGGACAGGCAGGCGGAAUUCGUGGUGUAGCGGUGAAAUGCAUAGAUAUCACGAGGAACCCCGAUUGCGAAGGCAGCCUGCUGGGGUGCAACUGACACUGAGGCUCGAAGGUGCGGGUAUCAAACAGGAUUAGAUACCCCUGUAGUC